Molecule: long non-coding RNA, 1443 nt
Filed under: Capsella grandiflora
Lineage: Eukaryota; Viridiplantae; Streptophyta; Magnoliopsida; Brassicales; Brassicaceae
Description: long non-coding RNA (CGRA_LNC001499)
Source: RNAcentral
UUGGUAACAUAUAUACAAACUUUUCUCUAUCUCUAAUCUCUGUAUUAGUAAUGUACAAUUUUUCUAUAAAUGUGACUGAUUGAUAUUAUAAUAAACUAUCGCAUAUAUAGGUCGUCAUACAACAAUUACCAGAGUGGAAAGCUCAUGAAUGGAACAUCCCUAAGAAUAUACCUAACGACGAUGAUCCCGAAACUUCUACGUGAAACUUUUGUCAUUGUUGUUAGUUUUUAUCACAAAUUUGUAACGAUCGAGUUUCUUUCAAAUAUGUGUCAAUAAUAUUUAACAAAACUAAAUGAUUAUUGUAAAAUAGUAAACUUAUUAUAACCAAAACAACCAUCCACUAAAUGAAAUAUUUUCAUACAAAUUGGAUAAAAUGUUACAAAAGUCCCAACAAGAAAGAUUGAGACAAAGGAAUCAAACACAGUAACAUUGAAUCAAGAAUCCUCACUUGUUUUGCUUAGAAAUCAGCAGAAGCAAGAGGAACAUGUUCGGAAGAGCUCAUGAACACAAUUUCCAUAUAGUUGGGAAAAUCAGGUCAAUCCCGGAAGCAUUCUUCAUUCUUCCACGAGCGUUCUCCUAUGAAAAAAGGCAGAAGCUUUUUCCUUGUUAAGCCAUUUCAUCAGUAUUUCCAUGGUGACUCCAUCGGUUUUGACUUCCGAGACGUUGGAAGAUUCAGCCGCAACAAAGUUAAACUUAUCGCUGUCCUCAUUUCCGAACCUUUCCUUCACCUCAUUGCCAAACUUGUUAAAACGAUGAAUUAUAUUGAGUCUCAAGUGGUAGGAUCUUUAUUUAUACUAAGAAAAAUAUACUAUUACUUAAUUACAGCUAGUAAUUUGUUUUUCAAAUUUUUGAUAUUAUCUUUGUAUUGUUUAGUUUACCGACAAAAAAUUAACAAUUUCUAUUCAUGUGCAAAGUUUGUUUGUUUUUCACGAACUUUCAUGGAAAAGUUAAAGCAAAUUUUUUGCAUGAAUCAAGAAAAAGAUUUUAUUUUUAGUUUUAUACAAUAAGAUGUAAUUCCUUCGUAUUUGUUUUAAAGAUAGUAAAAUUAUGUGUAUAUUUUUUUUAAUUAAACCAAGAUUUGUAAGUAAUUUUGUCUAAAUUAUUGUAUAAACUUACAAAACAUUGUAAUUCCAUAUUCCACAAAAGUAUACAUGUUAAAAAAGACUUACACUACAUGAAAAGACACAAAAAAAUAGAAGAAAAUUUUGAAGACACUUUAAUCUCUGUAUUAGUUAAUGUACAAUUUUUCUAUAAAUGUCACUGAUUGGAUAUUAUAAUAAACUAUUGCAUAGGUCGUUAAUCGUCAUACAACAAUUGCCAGAGUGGAAAGGUCAUGAAUGGAACAUCCCAAAGAAUAUAUCUAAGAAAUGACGAUGAUUCCGAAACUUCUACGUGAAACUUUUGUCAUUGUUGUUAGUUGUUAUCACAAAUUCGUAACGAUCG